Molecule: small nuclear RNA, 38 nt
Filed under: Cervus elaphus hippelaphus
Lineage: Eukaryota; Metazoa; Chordata; Mammalia; Artiodactyla; Cervidae
Source: RNAcentral
CACUUCUCAGUCUUUUGGCUAAAAUCAAGUGUAGAAUC